This 397-nucleotide ribosomal RNA is filed under the name uncultured bacterium. RNAcentral describes it as "partial 16S ribosomal RNA". It matches the Rfam family "Bacterial small subunit ribosomal RNA", at positions 523 to 918 of the family's 1533-position model. The record is from RNAcentral.
AUACGUAGGUGGCAAGCGUUGUCCGGAAUUAUUGGGCGUAAAGCGCGCGCAGGUGGUUCCUUAAGUCUGAUGUGAAAGCCCCCGGCUCAACCGGGGCGGGUCAUUGGAAACUGGGGAACUUGAGUGCAGAAGAGGAUAGUGGAAUUCCAAGUGUAGCGGUGAAAUGCGUAGGGAUUUGGAGGAACACCAGUGGCGAAGUGGACUGUCUGGUCUGUAACUGACACUGAGGCGCGAAAGCGUGGGGAGCAAACAGGAUUAGAUACCCUGGUAGUCCACGCCGUAAACGAUGAGUGCUAAGUGUUGGGGGGUUUCCACCCCUCAGUGCUGCAGCUAACGCAUUAAGCACUCCGCCUGGGGAGUACGGUCGCAAGACUGAAACUCAAAGGAAUUGACGGGG